GACGAACGCUGGCGGCGCGCCUAACACAUGCAAGUCGAACGAGUGAGAGAGAGCUUGCUUUCUCGAGCGAGUGGCGAACGGGUGAGUAACGCGUGAGGAACCUGCCUCAAAGAGGGGGACAACAGUUGGAAACGACUGCUAAUACCGCAUAAGCCCACAGGUCGGCAUCGACCAGAGGGAAAAGGAGCAAUCCGCUUUGAGAUGGCCUCGCGUCCGAUUAGCUAGUUGGUGAGGUAAUGGCCCACCAAGGCGACGAUCGGUAGCCGGACUGAGAGGUUGAACGGCCACAUUGGGACUGAGACACGGCCCAGACUCCUACGGGAGGCAGCAGUGGGGAAUAUUGCACAAUGGGGGAAACCCUGAUGCAGCGACGCCGCGUGGAGGAAGAAGGUCUUCGGAUUGUAAACUCCUGUUGUUGAGGAAGAUAAUGACGGUACUCAACAAGGAAGUGACGGCUAA
This 459-nucleotide ribosomal RNA is filed under the name uncultured bacterium. RNAcentral describes it as "bacterial SSU rRNA". It matches the Rfam family "Bacterial small subunit ribosomal RNA", at positions 28 to 500 of the family's 1533-position model. The record is from RNAcentral.